RNAcentral lists this long non-coding RNA (629 nucleotides) under Ananas comosus (pineapple). Its description in RNAcentral is "long non-coding RNA (ACOM_LNC018672)". Lineage: Eukaryota; Viridiplantae; Streptophyta; Magnoliopsida; Poales; Bromeliaceae. The record is from RNAcentral.
AAUUUCUAAAAUUAGUGCAAAAUUAAUGUCCAAAUUUAGAAUAUCAAUUAAAAAUUUUAUUUAAAUAUUUUAUUGUUUAAUUAUAAAAAUAAUCUCGAAUGAAGUAACACUUUUACCUGCUAUAUACUAAAAUUACAUAUUUACCGUCCAUUGAUCAAUGGCUAAUUUUUUUUUUUUAUUUUUUUUAUAAAAUAAAGUGCCUAAUCAUUUAUAAAAGUUCAGUGAUAUUCAUAAUUAUCGCUCUGAUUUAUUAUUAUUAUUAUUUUUUAAAAAAUAAGUAAAAUAAUAUUUUUUCCGUCACCAAUAUAUUCCUUCAAAAAUUCCAAUUACUAAAAUUAUACAGAAAUUUUCUUCUAAAAAUUUCCAACGAUUAUUUUCUUUCUUUCUAUCAUGACAAAUAAUAUAAGAGAAAUAAAAAGAAUAAUAUAACUCAUUCACUAAUCAGAAUUACGUAAUUAUUUAGGGUAAACUAUAUUUUUCUAACGGAUGCUAACAGUAGAGUUAUAGUUGAAAACAUUAGGACUUUUAUAAAAAUAAAAAAAAUUAAAAGAAAUAUAUCUACUAUCUGAUAUGUUUAUAGAGAGCUAUAUGUAAUUAACAUUUUUUUUUUUUUUUAGAAAGAUUUUUCC